RNAcentral lists this ribosomal RNA (265 nucleotides) under uncultured bacterium. RNAcentral's name for it is "partial 16S ribosomal RNA". It matches the Rfam family "Bacterial small subunit ribosomal RNA", at positions 793 to 1055 of the family's 1533-position model. The record is from RNAcentral.
GUCCCGACGGUAAACGAUGGGCACUAGGUGUCGGAGGUAUCGACCCCUCCGGUGCCGCAGUUAACACAUUAAGUGCCCCGCCUGGGGAGUACGACCGCAAGGUUGAAACUCAAAGGAAUUUACGGGGGCCCGCACAAGCGGUGGAGUAUGUGGUUUAAUUCGACGCAACGCGAAGAACCUUACCUGGGCUUGACAUGUAACGGACAUGGUUAGAGAUAACCACUCGUCUUCGUACGUCGUUGCACAGGUGCUGCAUGGCUGUCGU